UACAGAGGGUGCAAGCGUUAAUCGGAAUUACUGGGCGUAAAGCGCACGUAGGCGGCUUUCUAAGUCGGGGGUGAAAUCCUGGAGCUCAACUCCAGAGCUGCCUUUGAUACUGGAGAGCUUGAGUCCGGGAGAGGUGAGUGGAACUCCGAGUGUAGAGGUGAAAUUCGUAGAUAUUCGGAAGAACACCAGUGGCGAAGGCGGCUCACUGGCCCGGUACUGACGCUGAUGUGCGAAAGCGUGGGGGGCAAACAGG
Molecule: ribosomal RNA, 253 nt
Filed under: uncultured bacterium
Lineage: Bacteria
Description: partial 16S ribosomal RNA
Rfam family: Bacterial small subunit ribosomal RNA
Source: RNAcentral